GAUGAACGCUGGCGGCGUGCCUAAUACAUGCCAGUCGAGCGAACAGACGAGGAGCUUGCUCCUCUGACGUUAGCGGCGGACGGGUGAGUAACACGUGGAUAACCUACCUAUAAGACUGGGAUAACUUCGGGAAACCGGAGCUAAUACCGGAUAAUAUAUUGAACCGCAUGGUUCAAUAGUGAAAGACGGUUUUGCUGUCACUUAUAGAUGGAUCCGCGCCGCAUUAGCUAGUUGGUAAGGUAACGGCUUACCAAGGCAACGAUGCGUAGCCGACCUGAGAGGGUGAUCGGCCACACGUGAACUGAGACACGGUCCAGACUCCUACGGGAGGCAGCAGUAGGGAAUCUUCCGCAAUGGGCGAAAGCCUGACGGAGCAACGCCGCGUGAGUGAUGAAGGUCUUCGGAUCGUAAAACUCUGUUAUUAGGGAAGAACAAAUGUGUAAGUAACUAUGCACGUCUUGACGGUACCUAAUCAGAAAGCCACGGCUAACUACGUG
Molecule: ribosomal RNA, 497 nt
Filed under: uncultured bacterium
Lineage: Bacteria
Description: partial 16S ribosomal RNA
Rfam family: Bacterial small subunit ribosomal RNA
Source: RNAcentral